RNAcentral lists this unclassified non-coding RNA (253 nucleotides) under uncultured Micrococcales bacterium. RNAcentral's name for it is "contains 16S-23S intergenic spacer region". It matches the Rfam family "Bacterial small subunit ribosomal RNA", at positions 524 to 776 of the family's 1533-position model. The record is from RNAcentral. Lineage: Bacteria; Bacillati; Actinomycetota; Actinomycetes; Micrococcales.
UACGUAGGGGGCAAGCGUUGUCCGGAAUUAUUGGGCGUAAAGAGCUCGUAGGCGGCUUGUCGCGUCUGCUGUGAAAUCCUGAGGCUCAACCUUGGGCGUGCAGUGGGUACGGGCAGGCUAGAGUGCGGUAGGGGAGAUUGGAAUUCCUGGUGUAGCGGUGGAAUGCGCAGAUAUCAGGAGGAACACCAAUGGCGAAGGCAGGUCUCUGGGCCACAACUGACGCUGAGGAGCGAAAGCAUGGGGAGCGAACAGG